CCUACGGGGGACAGCAGUGGGGAAUAUUGCACAAUGGGGGAAACCCUGAUGCAGCGACGCCGCGUGAGUGAAGAAGUAUUUCGGUAUGUAAAGCUCUAUCAGCAGGGAAGAAAAUGACGGUACCUGAUUAAGAAGCCCCGGCUAACUACGUGCCAGCAGCCGCGGUAAUACGUAGGGGGCAAUCGUUAUCCGGAUUUACUGGGUGGAAAGGGAGCGUAGACGGCAGCACAAGUCUGGAGUGAACUGCCGGGGCUUAACCCCGGAACUGCUUUGGAAACUGUGCAGCUAGAGUGCAGGAGAGGUAAGUGGAAUUCCUAGUGUAGCGGUGAAAUGCGUAGAUAUUAGGAGGAACACCAGUGGCGAAGGCGGCUUACUGGACUGUAACUGACGUUGAGGCUCGAAAGCGUGGGGAGCAAACAGGAUUAGAUACCCUAGUAGCC
This 440-nucleotide ribosomal RNA is filed under the name uncultured bacterium. RNAcentral's name for it is "partial 16S ribosomal RNA". It matches the Rfam family "Bacterial small subunit ribosomal RNA", at positions 338 to 795 of the family's 1533-position model. The record is from RNAcentral.